Molecule: non-coding RNA, 29 nt
Filed under: Homo sapiens (human)
Lineage: Eukaryota; Metazoa; Chordata; Mammalia; Primates; Hominidae
Source: RNAcentral
UCCCAUGUGUGGAAAUGCCGUUUGGAUAA